This 506-nucleotide ribosomal RNA is filed under the name uncultured bacterium. RNAcentral describes it as "partial 16S ribosomal RNA". It matches the Rfam family "Bacterial small subunit ribosomal RNA", at positions 29 to 523 of the family's 1533-position model. The record is from RNAcentral.
AGUGAACGCUGGCGGUAGGCCUAACACAUGCAAGUCGAACGGCAGCACAGGAGAGCUUGCUCUCCGGGUGGCGAGUGGCGGACGGGUGAGGAAUACAUCGGAAUCUACUUUUUCGUGGGGGAUAACGUAGGGAAACUUACGCUAAUACCGCAUACGACCUACGGGUGAAAGCAGGGGAUCUUCGGACCUUGCGCGAUUGAAUGAGCCGAUGUCGGAUUAGCUAGUUGGCGGGGUAAAGGCCCACCAAGGCGACGAUCCGUAGCUGGUCUGAGAGGAUGAUCAGCCACACUGGAACUGAGACACGGUCCAGACUCCUACGGGAGGCAGCAGUGGGGAAUAUUGGACAAUGGGCGCAAGCCUGAUCCAGCCAUACCGCGUGGGUGAAGAAGGCCUUCGGGUUGUAAAGCCCUUUUGUUGGGAAAGAAAUCCAGCUGGUUAAUACCCGGUUGGGAUGACGGUACCCAAGGAAUAAGCACCGGCUAACUUCGUGCCAGCAGCCGCCGUAA